GAUGAACGCUGGCGGCGUGCUUAACACAUGCAAGUCGAACGGAAAGGCUCCAGCUUUCUGGGGUGCUCGAGUGGCGAACGGGUGAGUAACACGUAAGUGAUCUGCACCUGCACUGGGGGAUAAGCUUGGGAAACUGGGUCUAAUACCCUAUAGGACCGCAUCGUGGUUGGUGUGGUGGAAAGGUUUUUCUGGUGUGGGAUGAGCUUGCGGCCUAUCAGCUUGUUGGUGGGGUAAUGGCCUACCAAGGCGGCGACGGGUAGCCGGCCUGAGAGGGUGUGCGGCCACAUUGGGACUGAGAUACGGCCCAGACUCCUACGGGAGGCAGCAGUGGGGAAUUUUGCACAAUGGGCGGAAGCCUGAUGCAGCGACGCCGUGUGGGGGAUGAAGGCCUUCGGGUUGUAAACUCCUUUCGUCA
This 415-nucleotide ribosomal RNA is filed under the name uncultured Actinomycetales bacterium. RNAcentral's name for it is "bacterial SSU rRNA". It matches the Rfam family "Bacterial small subunit ribosomal RNA", at positions 28 to 441 of the family's 1533-position model. Lineage: Bacteria; Bacillati; Actinomycetota; Actinomycetes; Actinomycetales. The record is from RNAcentral.